Molecule: ribosomal RNA, 729 nt
Filed under: uncultured Pseudomonadota bacterium
Lineage: Bacteria; Pseudomonadati; Pseudomonadota
Description: bacterial SSU rRNA
Rfam family: Bacterial small subunit ribosomal RNA
Source: RNAcentral
CAUGCAAGUCGAAUGGUAACAGGAAACAGCUUGCUGUUUCGCUGACGAGUGGCGGACGGGUGAGUAAUGUCUGGGAAACUGCCUGAUGGAGGGGGAUAACUACUGGAAACGGUAGCUAAUACCGCAUAACGUCGCAAGACCAAAGAGGGGGACCUUCGGGCCUCUUGCCAUCAGAUGUGCCCAGAUGGGAUUAGCUAGUAGGUGGGGUAACGGCUCACCUAGGCGACGAUCCCUAGCUGGUCUGAGAGGAUGACCAGCCACACUGGAACUGAGACACGGUCCAGACUCCUACGGGAGGCAGCAGUGGGGAAUAUUGCACAAUGGGCGCAAGCCUGAUGCGGCCAUGCCGCGUGUAUGAAGAAGGCCUUCGGGUUGUAAAGUACUUUCAGCGGGGAGGAAGGGAGUAAAGUUAAUACCUUUGCUCAUUGACGUUACCCGCAGAAGAAGCACCGGCUAACUCCGUGCCAGCAGCCGCGGUAAUACGGAGGGUGCAAGCGUUAAUCGGAAUUACUGGGCGUAAAGCGCACGCAGGCGGUUUGUUAAGUCAGAUGUGAAAUCCCCGGGCUCAACCUGGGAACUGCAUCUGAUACUGGCAAGCUUGAGUCUCGUAGAGGGGGGUAGAAUUCCAGGUGUAGCGGUGAAAUGCGUAGAGAUCUGGAGGAAUACCGGUGGCGAAGGCGGCCCCCUGGACGAAGACUGACGCUCAGGUGCGAAAGCGUGGGGAGCAAA